This 378-nucleotide ribosomal RNA is filed under the name uncultured eukaryote. RNAcentral describes it as "partial 18S ribosomal RNA". It matches the Rfam family "Eukaryotic small subunit ribosomal RNA", at positions 592 to 976 of the family's 1831-position model. The record is from RNAcentral.
CAAUAGCGUAUAUUUAAGUUGUUGCAGUUAAAAAGCUCGUAGUUGGAUUUCGGGUGGGACGCAGCGGUCUCGCAUUGCGUUUGUACUGCUGCAGCCCUCCUUCUUGCCGGGGGCGGCCUCUCGGACUUCACUGUCUGGGGGUCAGAAUCGGCGAUGUUACUUUGAGUAAAUUAGAGUGUUCAAAGCAAGCUUACGCUCUGAAUAUAAUAGCAUGGGAUAACACGACAGGACUCUGGCCUAUCGUGUUGGUCUAUAGGACCAGAGUAAUGAUUAAGAGGGACAGUCGGGGGCAUUCGUAUUCCGUUGUCAGAGGUGAAAUUCUUGGAUUUACGGAAGACGAACAUCUGCGAAAGCAUUUGCCAAGGAUGUUUUCAUUGU